GUUCUAUGAAGGACUGAACGCAAGUAAGAAUACUUUUUUAAGUUGUUUCUCAUCGCCUUAGGCAUAAAGCCAAUUCCAUCUCUAUCUGGCCACUCCGUGACUCCAAGACCAGAGACAAAAGGAAUCAUGUCUAUUUCAGUUAAGGGGCCUGUUAAGUCAUCAAGUAAAUGCUCUUUCCGGGCCUAGCAACAUCUUCGAAUCGGUUGUAAUCAACCAAUUCAGAAUGCCUUUUAUGAAAGGUACUAUUUGAAGAGCAGCUCCAUGAACUUAGCGCUAGCUGCAGUACUAUUAUAUUAGAGACCGAAAUCGCUACAUCAAAAAAAUAGGUAUAGCCAAACAGAAGGUUCUUUUCUUGGCUUUCUUGCCCUAUCGGUCAGAUCAGGUGAAAGCAAGCAAAUAAACGAUAGGUAAACUUAUUCAACGGCCGCUUGCGCACCAAGACUAAAGGAGGGUUCCGGAUAGCCAUCAUAAGACCGCUUACCUUAUAUUCCGCUACCAAAGAAAAAGGACUUCCUUUCGCAAUCGAACCUCUAGAAGCAAGGUUGCGAAGCCGGGGUAUUAUGUAUCAGCUGAAAACGAAGUGGAUGACUCUCUUUUAGUUGACUUUGGAAUUUGACCAGUCUACAUCGUCCGCCCCGAAAACUAAGUAGCUCACUAGUGCCAGCCAAAGGCUUCUUUUUGACCUUUCUUGCGGAUGUCCUAAUCAGUUUCUCUGAGGCUCUCAAGCUGAGAGAAAGUGUUUGGAUGAUUUUUGCAUGGUUUCAGGGCGCUUUGAGAAAUAGAAUAUCUUAUGUUCUCCUAAUAUCGAUAGGCAAGUUGCUUAUUUCUGUGUGCUCUAGGCUUGACAAGCUAAACAGUAAAAACUUUUUUUGGUAAAAAUAAGAGGAAGAUCCAUCUUGCUAAUUAGGGAUUUGGUGUGUAGACCAAAAGGUAUGGGCGCCGGAGUUUCCUCUCGUUGAGAUUUUGGCAAUCUCGUGCGGGUUGAAGCAAGCAUUAGAUAUGGGCCUUUCUUCUCUGAUGCUGG
Molecule: long non-coding RNA, 1024 nt
Filed under: Fragaria vesca (wild strawberry)
Lineage: Eukaryota; Viridiplantae; Streptophyta; Magnoliopsida; Rosales; Rosaceae
Description: long non-coding RNA (FVES_LNC004344)
Source: RNAcentral